This 253-nucleotide ribosomal RNA is filed under the name uncultured bacterium. Its description in RNAcentral is "partial 16S ribosomal RNA". It matches the Rfam family "Bacterial small subunit ribosomal RNA", at positions 524 to 776 of the family's 1533-position model. The record is from RNAcentral.
UACGUAGGGUGCGAGCGUUGUCCGGAAUUAUUGGGCGUAAAGAGCUUGUAGGCGGUCUGUCGCGUCUGCUGUGAAAAUCCGGGGCUCAACCCCGGACUUGCAGUGGGUACGGGCAGACUAGAGUGUGGUAGGGGAGACUGGAAUUCCUGGUGCAGCGGUGAAAUGCGCAGAUAUCAGGAGGAACACCGAUGGCGAAGGCAGCUGCCUGGCCUAACACUGACGCUGAGGUGCGAAAGCGUGGGGAGCGAACGGG